This 400-nucleotide ribosomal RNA is filed under the name uncultured bacterium. RNAcentral's name for it is "bacterial SSU rRNA". It matches the Rfam family "Bacterial small subunit ribosomal RNA", at positions 29 to 412 of the family's 1533-position model. The record is from RNAcentral.
AACGAACGCUGGCGGCGUGCCUAACACAUGCAAGUCGUGCGAGAAAGUUCCUUCGGGAGCGAGUAAAGCGGCGCACGGGUGAGUAACACGUAGGUAACCUGCCCCCCAGUCUGGAACAACUAGAGGAAACUCUAGCUAAUGCCGGAUGAGACCACGAUCCCUUCGGGGGUUGCGGCCAAAAGAUGGCCUCUACUUGUAAGCUAUCGCUGAGGGAUGGGCCUGCGGGCCAUUAGCUUGUUGGUGAGGUAACGGCUCACCAAGGCUGUGAUGGCUAGCUGGUCUGAGAGGAUGACCAGCCACACUGGGACUGAGACACGGCCCAGACUCCUACGGGAGGCAGCAGUGGGAAUAUUGCGCAAUGGGCGAAAGCCUGACGCAGCGACGCCGCGUGGGUGAUGAA